UACGGAGGAUGCGAGCGUUAUCCGGAUUUAUUGGGUUUAAAGGGUGCGUAGGCGGAUUUUUAAGUCAGCGGUAAAAUGUCCGGGCUCGACCCGGGCCGGCCGUUGAAACUGGGGAUCUUGAGUGGGCGAGAAGUAUGCGGAAUGCGUGGUGUAGCGGUGAAAUGCAUAGAUAUCACGCAGGACUCCGAUUGCGAAGGCAGCAUACCGGCGCCCGACUGACGCUGAGGCACGAAAGCGUGGGGAUCGAACAGG
Molecule: ribosomal RNA, 252 nt
Filed under: uncultured bacterium
Lineage: Bacteria
Description: partial 16S ribosomal RNA
Rfam family: Bacterial small subunit ribosomal RNA
Source: RNAcentral